UCUUGGCUAAGGUGUCUUGGCUAAUGUGUCUUGGCUAAGGUGUCUUGGCUUAUGUGUCUUGGCUAAGGUGUCUUGGCUAAGGUGUGUUGGCUAAUGUGUCUCGGCUAAUGUGUCUCGGCUAAUGUGUCUUGGCUAAUGUAUCUUGGCUAAGGUGUUUUGGCUAAGGUGUCUUGGCUAAUGUGUCUUGGCUAAGGUGUCUUGGCUAAGGUGUCUUGGCUAAGGUGUCUUGGUUAAUGUGUCUCGGCUAAAGUGUCUUGGCUAAGGUGUCUUGGCUAAGGUGUCUUGGCUAAGGUGUCUUGGCUAAGGUGUCUUGGCUAAGGUGUCUUGGCUAAUGUGUCUUGGCUAAUGUGUCUUGGCUAAUGUGUCUCGGCUAAUGUGUCUUGGCUAAGGUGUCUUGGCUAAGGUGUCUUGGCUAAUGUGUCUUGGCUAAUGUGUCUUGGCUAAGAUGUCUUGGCUAAUGUGUCUUGGCUAAUGUGUCUUGGCUAAUGUGUCUUGGCUAAGGUGUCGUGGCUAAUGUGUCUUGGCUAAUGUGUCUUGGCUAAGGUGUCUUGGCUAAUGUGUCUUGGCUAAGGUGUCUUGGCUAAGGUGUCUUGGCUAAGGUGUCGUGGCUAAUGUGUCUUGGCUAAGGUGUCGUGGCUAAUGUGUCUUGGCUAAGGUGUCUUGGCUAAUGUGUCUUGGCUAAGGUGUCUUGGCUAAGGUGUCUUGGCUAAGGUGUCUUGGCUAAUGUGUCUCGGCUAAUGUGUCUUGGCUAAUGUGUCUUGGCUUAUGUGUCUUGGCUAAUGUGUCUUGGCUAAUGUGUCUUGGCUAAGGUGUCUCGGCUAAUGUGUCUUGGCUUAUGUGUCUUGGCUUAUGUGGCUUGGCUAAUGUGUCUUGGCUAAUGUGUCUUGGCUAAUGUGUCUUGGCUAAUGUGUCUCGGCUAAUGUGUCUUGGCUAAUGUGUCUUGGCUAAGGUGUCUUGGCUAAUGUGUCGUGGCUAAUGUGUCUUGGCUAAGGUGUCUUGGCUAAGGUGUCUUGGCUAAGGUGUCUUGGCUAAGGUGUCUUGGCUAAGGUGUCUUGGCUAAUGUGUCUUGGCUAAGGUGUCUUGGCUAAUGUGUCUUGGCUAAUGUGUCUUGGCUAAGGUGUCUUGGCUAAUGUGUCUUGGCUAAGGUGUCUUGUCUAAGGUGUCUUGGCUAAUGUGUCUCGGCUAAUGUGUCUUGGCUAAUGUGUCUUGGCUAAUGUGUCUUGGCUAAUGUGUCUCGGCUAAAGUGUCUUGGCUAAUGUGUCUUGGCUAAUGUGUCUUGGCUAAGGUGUCUUGGCUAAGGUGUCUUGGCUAAGGUGUCUUGGCUAAGGUGUCUUGGCUAAGGUGUCUUGGCUAAGGUGUCUCGGCUAAGGUGUCUUGGCUAAGGUGUCUUGGCUAAGGUGUCUUGGCUAAGGUGUCUUGGCUAAGGUGUCUUGGCUUAUGUGUCUUGGCUAAGGUGUCUUGGCUAAGGUGUCUUGGCUAAUGUGUCUUGGCUAAUGUGUCUCGGCUAAUGUGUCUUGGCUAAGGUGUCUUGGCUAAGGUGUCUUGGCUAAGGUGUCUUGGCUAAGGUGUCUUGGCUAAUGUGUCUCGGCUAAUGUGUCUCAGCUA
Molecule: long non-coding RNA, 1605 nt
Organism: Anopheles funestus (African malaria mosquito)
Lineage: Eukaryota; Metazoa; Arthropoda; Insecta; Diptera; Culicidae
Exons: 4
Source: RefSeq, a predicted model, not a curated record